This 426-nucleotide ribosomal RNA is filed under the name uncultured Bacillus sp. RNAcentral's name for it is "bacterial SSU rRNA". It matches the Rfam family "Bacterial small subunit ribosomal RNA", at positions 354 to 771 of the family's 1533-position model. The record is from RNAcentral. Lineage: Bacteria; Bacillati; Bacillota; Bacilli; Caryophanales; Bacillaceae.
GUAGGGAAUCUUCCGCAAUGGACGAAAGUCUGACGGAGCAACGCCGCGUGAGUGAUGAAGGUUUUCGGAUCGUAAAGCUCUGUUGUUAGGGAAGAACAAGUACCGUUCGAAUAGGGCGGUACCUUGACGGUACCUAACCAGAAAGCCACGGCUAACUACGUGCCAGCAGCCGCGGUAAUACGUAGGUGGCAAGCGUUGUCCGGAAUUAUUGGGCGUAAAGGGCUCGCAGGCGGUUCCUUAAGUCUGAUGUGAAAGCCCCCGGCUCAACCGGGGAGGGUCAUUGGAAACUGGGGAACUUGAGUGCAGAAGAGGAGAGUGGAAUUCCACGUGUAGCGGUGAAAUGCGUAGAGAUGUGGAGGAACACCAGUGGCGAAGGCGACUCUCUGGUCUGUAACUGACGCUGAGGAGCGAAAGCGUGGGGAGCGA